AACGAACGCUGGCGGCAGGCCUAACACAUGCAAGUCGAGCGAGGACUUCGGUUCUAGCGGCGGACGGGUGAGUAACGCGUGGGAAUGUGCCCUUCUCUACGGAAUAGCCCUGGGAAACUGGGAGUAAUACCGUAUACGCCCUUUUGGGGAAAAAUUUAUCGGAGAAGGAUCAGCCCGCGUUGGAUUAGGUAGUUGGUGGGGUAAUGGCCUACCAAGCCGACGAUCCAUAGCUGGUUUGAGAGGAUGAUCAGCCACACUGGGACUGAGACACGGCCCAGACUCCUACGGGAGGCAGCAGUGGGGAAUCUUAGACAAUGGGGGCAACCCUGAUCUAGCCAUGCCGCGUGAGUGAUGAAGGCCUUAGGGUUGUAAAGCUCUUUCAGCUGGGAAGAUAAUGACGGUACCAGCAGAAGAAGCCCCGGCUAACUCCGUG
Molecule: ribosomal RNA, 433 nt
Filed under: uncultured bacterium
Lineage: Bacteria
Description: partial 16S ribosomal RNA
Rfam family: Bacterial small subunit ribosomal RNA
Source: RNAcentral